Molecule: long non-coding RNA, 229 nt
Filed under: Elaeis guineensis (African oil palm)
Lineage: Eukaryota; Viridiplantae; Streptophyta; Magnoliopsida; Arecales; Arecaceae
Description: long non-coding RNA (EGUI_LNC050046)
Source: RNAcentral
AUCACAAGUUGUACAUCUUCUUUUAUGAUCUCCUAUGUUGUGAUGAAGUUCUUAGGACUUUUAGAAUCGACAAAAGAAGAUUUAUCGUUGAGUCCUUAAAUAUGUUUGCGACUAAACGAUAUACUAUUACUAGAACGAUAGCUACAUUAAGUGUAGGUUGUUGUAUAUCAUAUAAGUUAGUUGUUCUCUUAACCAAGGAGUGUGGAGACACUAGUAUGGCAUGCAGGUG